AGCGAACGCUGGCGGCGUGCUUAACACAUGCAAGUCGAGCGAGAAAGGGGGCUUCGGCCCCUGAGUACAGCGGCGAACGGGUGCGUAAUACAUGAGUAAUCUACCCUUGAGGCGGGAAUAACCCAGCGAAAGUUGGGCUAAUACCGGAUAAGACCACGAGAGGAAACUCUAGGGGUUAAAGGCAGCUCUCUUUUGGGGGCGCCCUUUGAGGAGGAGUUCAUGUCCUAUCAGCUAGUUGGUAGGUAACGGCCUACCAAGGCGAAGACGGUAGCUGGUCUUAGAGGAUGAUCAGCCACACGGGGACUGAGACACGGCCCCGACACCUACGGGUGGCAG
This 336-nucleotide ribosomal RNA is filed under the name uncultured bacterium. RNAcentral's name for it is "bacterial SSU rRNA". It matches the Rfam family "Bacterial small subunit ribosomal RNA", at positions 29 to 351 of the family's 1533-position model. The record is from RNAcentral.